This 400-nucleotide unclassified non-coding RNA is filed under the name uncultured fungus. Its description in RNAcentral is "sequence contains ITS1". Lineage: Eukaryota; Fungi. The record is from RNAcentral.
GUGGGGUCAUGUAUGGAGGCAAUGUUGGUCUAGGAUACUUGAACGCCAUCUCAAGCGGAUCUCGCACCAGAAGCAAGUUUAUCAUGUUGAACAGAGGAAGUGACAAACCUACCAGUGUUCCGCCAAUAAUAAUUGCAGCGUGCUUGUUACGUCUAGUAGCCCAGUACGUAAGGUCUAAUAACAUUGCAGAGGGUAUCCAUACGGGCACCGCGAUGAAAUCAUACGGGUAUCCUAAUGCAAACCAUGCGCCUUUGGCAACCCACGUAUAGAUUGUCAUGAUGGUUGCAUAGUAGGUGGCAGUUCCUGGAACUCCUGUGAAGAGCAUGUAGUAAAUCGCCCCAACAACAAGCAUGGUAGAUUGUGAGAUGGAAAAUACUACAAAUGAUGUCCAGGCCCAGUC